This 478-nucleotide ribosomal RNA is filed under the name uncultured bacterium. Its description in RNAcentral is "partial 16S ribosomal RNA". It matches the Rfam family "Bacterial small subunit ribosomal RNA", at positions 28 to 523 of the family's 1533-position model. The record is from RNAcentral.
GACGAACGCUGGCGGCGUGCUUAACACAUGCAAGUCGAACGGUAAGGCCCUUCGGGGUACACGAGUGGCGAACGGGUGAGUAACACGUGGGUGAUCUGCCCUGCACUUCGGGAUAAGCCUGGGAAACUGGGUCUAAUACCGGAUAGGACCCUGGGAUGCAUGUCCUGGGGUGGAAAGCUUUUGCGGUGUGGGAUGGGCCCGCGGCCUAUCAGCUUGUUGGUGGGGUGAUGGCCUACCAAGGCGACGACGGGUAGCCGGCCUGGGAGGGUGACCGGCCGCACUGGGACUGGGAUACUGCCCAGACUCCUAGGGGAGGCAGCAGGGGGGAAUAUUGCACAAUGGGCGCAAGCCUGCUGCAGCGACGCCGCGUGAGGGAUGACGGCCUUCGGGUUGUAAACCUCUUUCAGCACCGACGAAGCGCAAGUGACGGUAGGUGCAGAAGAAGGACCGGCCAACUACGUGCCAGCCGCCGCCGUAA